RNAcentral lists this ribosomal RNA (326 nucleotides) under uncultured eukaryote. RNAcentral's name for it is "partial 18S ribosomal RNA". It matches the Rfam family "Eukaryotic small subunit ribosomal RNA", at positions 1470 to 1796 of the family's 1831-position model. The record is from RNAcentral.
CCCUUAGAUGUUCUGGGCUGCACGCGCGCUACACUGAUGCACUCAACGAGUUUACGACCUUGCCCGAUAGGGUUGGGUAAUCUUUUUAAAAUGCAUCGUGAUGGGGAUAGAUUAUUGCAAUUAUUAAUCUUCAACGAGGAAUUCCUAGUAAGCGCGAGUCAUCAGCUCGUGCUGAUUACGUCCCUGCCCUUUGUACACACCGCCCGUCGCACCUACCGAUUGAGUGCUCAGGUGAAUAAUUCGGACUGCAGCAAUGUUUGGAUCCCGAACGUUGCAGCGGAAAGUUUAGUGAACCUUAUCACUUAGAGGAAGGAGAAGUCGUAACA